Molecule: non-coding RNA, 1504 nt
Organism: Anas platyrhynchos (mallard)
Lineage: Eukaryota; Metazoa; Chordata; Aves; Anseriformes; Anatidae
Source: RefSeq, a predicted model, not a curated record
CUGUCCCCACUGAGGCAUCCCACAGUGCCUACAAUAAUUUUGUACGGUGUUCUUGUGCCUUUUCCUAUACAAGAAAAUUUUCCCUUUGAUUUAAUAUUCAAGGUGUACUUGGGUAUAUAUAGGCAGCAUGCGGUGUUAAAAAGUCAGAAAUCAAACGUAGCUCUCCUGGAAGGAAAAAUGCUGUUUCUUUAUUUCUUAUUCUUGAGUUGUUGCUUCUCUGUCUCUAUGGGCAGUGCAAUAGCAGAAUUUCAAGAAAACUUUGAGGAGUUAGCGCGUCUUACAAACAAGGAGGUAGGUCAUUAUCAUUUCCUCUUUUUUUUUUUUACAGUUCUUGUGAUGGAAGUAUCAAAUCGACUAUGGGCUAGCUGCAUCUCUAGUUUGUUUCUCCCGUGUUUUGUUUGUUAAACUUAAAAUGUUGAAGGCACUGAGUGUCAGCCUCUCCUCUGAAGUUGGCACUGCAAUUGUUUCCCCAAAGGAAGUUCAGAAAUAGAAAACCUGAUGAAGAUGAUAUGUAGGUAGAGAUGCUUAACAAUGUGGCAGUUACUUAGAAAUACCUUCUAACACCUCAAUCUCUCUUUCUUUUUUAAUUUUAGCUCUACCUUCCAGUGCCUGGACAGAGAUUUCGGUGCAAUUGUGUUCGCUUUCACCUGGAAGAAACCAUGAAACAGCUGAAUAAAACAGACUUCUUGAAGAGUGACCGGAUGAAAACACUUGUUUUUCUGAUGAAGGAAAAAACAGACCACAUAAUAACAACUUUCCAUAAAACACAUACAGCACCUGAGGAAAGUCGUUUAUGUCGAGUGAAAGAGAAACCUCUGCAGAGUGCCCCAGCGCUCUACAGAAAGUUUUUUCAAUGGCUGCACGAGAUGUGCCAGAAAACGGGCUGAUGGAAACUAGCCACCCUGCUGGUUGAACAUGUGUUUUAUACAACACUAUAGCUAAUUCUGACAGAAUGCUGCAAGGCUGCCACAGAGCACCCCAAAGAGACAAUACAACACGAGCAUGAAUGUUUUAUAUAUGUAUUAUCAGAUAUUUAUUACUGUAUUUCUUACUGCAGCUAUUAAUGUAUUUAUUUAAUUUAUAGAGAGCUUUUUAUUUGUAUGGAGUCAAAAUGUUCAAAGUUAUAAUGAAUAAAAGAACUUUAAGUUAUUAAUUCUAUUGUGGUUUUGUGGUCUAUGAUAAUUUGAAUAUAUGCUAAGGCUUCAAUAAAACAAUGUGAGUUAAAUUACUUUUCCUAAAUAAAGACACAUUUUUUUUAUUUUUUUAUUUUAUUUAUUUUUUUUUUUUAGAAUUUGAAGGAAAUGGUACGUUUGCUGUUGUAUAGCAGUGUACAUUGGUUUCCAAAUGAAAUGUAAAGAGUCUCUAUGUUUGUGAAAUCACCUGUCUGGCUUUUGAGGCAUGAAGUAGCGAGAGUAACUGCCCAGUCUAGUCAUUAGGAAAGUUUUAAGCCAAAGGUACUUAGCAUAUGUAUAUCUUUGGGAAGCAGUAAACCUCAUCAAUGAAG